GAUGAACGCUGGCGGCGUGCCUAAUACAUGCAAGUCGAGCGAACAGACGAGGAGCUUGCUCCUCUGACGUUAGCGGCGGACGGGUGAGUAACACGUGGAUAACCUACCUAUAAGACUGGGAUAACUUCGGGAAACCGGAGCUAAUACCGGAUAAUAUAUUGAACCGCAUGGUUCAAUAGUGAAAGAUGGUUUUGCUGUCACUUAUAGAUGGAUCCGCGCCGCAUUAGCUAGUUGGUAAGGUAACGGCUUACCAAGGCGACGAUGCGUAGCCGACCUGAGAGGGUGAUCGGCCACACUGGAACUGAGACACGGUCCAGACUCCUACGGGAGGCAGCAGUAGGGAAUCUUCCGCAAUGGGCGAAAGCCUGACGGAGCAACGCCGCGUGAGUGAUGAAGGUCUUCGGAUCGUAAAACUCUGUUAUUAGGGAAGAACAAAUGUGUAAGUAACUGUGCACGUCUUGACGGUACCUAAUCAGAAAGCCACGGCUAACUACGUG
This 497-nucleotide ribosomal RNA is filed under the name uncultured bacterium. RNAcentral describes it as "partial 16S ribosomal RNA". It matches the Rfam family "Bacterial small subunit ribosomal RNA", at positions 28 to 507 of the family's 1533-position model. The record is from RNAcentral.